GUGAAGAAGCUUACAAGGUCUGACAAGUGAAGAGGGCUGAGCGGCUGA
This 48-nucleotide small nucleolar RNA is filed under the name Pyrobaculum neutrophilum V24Sta. Its description in RNAcentral is "PNEsR46". Lineage: Archaea; Thermoproteati; Thermoproteota; Thermoprotei; Thermoproteales; Thermoproteaceae. The record is from RNAcentral.